UCACUAUUUGUAAAAAUUAUUAUUAUGUAAAAAAAAACUGAUACACAUUGAUAUCGUUUUUCUCUUCAUAUUAUUAUUUUUAUCGAAUCGAAAUUUUUGACAAGCGAGCGAAAAUUUAAUCGAAAAAUAACUAGACGCCUGUAACAUCGACAAAUGGUAAUCGCGAUAUAUUAAUAAUAGUGGAAGAAGUACAGAGAAGGAUGUAACGAUAACGUAUACGUUUCACGCAGGAUAGGUUAGGUUAUAAUUGGGCAUUACGUGUUAAAAAAAAAAAAAAAAAAAAACCGUUAACUAUUGAACGAAUGAAAAAAAUCAAUAACGAAAAAAAAAGAAGUGAGUCAUUGUGACGUGUACGUCGCGUUAUAUUAUAUAAUUGUUGAUAAUGGAAACUAUUGUAAUUGAGACUUUGAGGAUACUCUAUUAAGGCAACACGUGGGACGAACGAGGGAAACGCUCGGCCGUGCUUAACGACGAGAUCGAUUUUAAUAGUGGCAUAAAAUUUACAUUUCGGUCGAACGAUCGACAAAAUUACCAAGCUUUUGAACCAGUUUCCCUGGAAUAAAGUCGAACGCAACUGAAAAUGAAGGAUUUCCAAUCAAAGUCGCUUCGACGUCUAUUAAUUCGUCUCGGAAGAGAAGUAUCGUGGUCGGACGUCUGAGCGGUGGAUCACGGAUAAAUUGGAAAACAAGGCCGCGAGGACAGUUUGUCAGAGCUGUGCUAUUCAAUCCCAUUCGGAAACAGCGGUGCGAACUAGGCGAACGGUGAAAUCCCAUCGAAAUUACUUGUUCUCAAGAGCCGAAGAAUCGAGUAACGUGCGUUCAAUAAGAAGAAUCAUUCUUGAAAAUAUCGAGAAAACCGUCUUAACAUUAUCCGCAUGUGUCGGUCGUAAAAUUAUUCGCAUCGAGAAAGUGUGUAUUGUGUUUGUAUUGUGUAAUAUUUUGGACGUAAAUUAUAUUUUUUCCUGCUGUUUUGAUUUUCAUAUCGAAUUAAACGUAUUAAUUAAAUGUCAAGGAGAUCUCGCAAGUUUAAUCUAGCGUUGGACGGUGUAUGGAACAUCGUGAAGUGGUGUAGUUAUGCAAAUCGCGGGAUAUCCAACGCCUGUUGUGACUUGCUGUUUGCAUUUAAACGUAGCUAUUUAGACAAUCUUUGUUCGUUUUAAUGCAGUGACUACUAUUUCUAUACAUUUUGGAAAUCUUUUCAGAGGACGGAUUUUAUUUCAGCACAAAUUCAUUUGAUAAAUUUGAUAAUCGUUAUAAUUUAUAAUUUAUAAUUGUAAUUACGUAUAUCGUUACGAUAUUGCAAGGAAUUUACGAAAAAAGGGUUAUCGAGCGUGGAAAUAAAAUAUAUGAAGUUCGAUCUUUCAAAGAUACCUACGUUAUAAUUUUAUCGAUCGAAAAACAUAAAUAUAAGUGAGAAACAAGGAGAAGAAUAGACAAGACACAAAUAAGUAAAUAUCUCAACAUCUUGUAGAGACAAGACAAGAGUGCAUAGAUUGAUGACAUUUAUAAGAAUAAGUCGGUACUUUACUUUGCCAGGAUGAAAUUAAAUUCAACCAAGAUAAAUGGGAGCGCUAAGCGUGCUUCGCUUCGGUGAACAUGUGAAAUGUAAAUUAGUUUGAAUUAAGGUGGAGUUCACUGGUCAGGCUUCUAUUAAAUGUAUAAAUACGCGUGGACGGUUUCCAGCGGCUGCGAUUCGUGUUUCGUGUCGCGUUACCAGCUGCGACACUGUUUCUAAUUAAAUGAUACGCUCUUUUAACAAA
This 1759-nucleotide long non-coding RNA is filed under the name Apis mellifera (honey bee). RNAcentral's name for it is "uncharacterized LOC102656621, transcript variant X4". Lineage: Eukaryota; Metazoa; Arthropoda; Insecta; Hymenoptera; Apidae. The record is from RNAcentral.